GCCGAGUCUCCGCAGUGAGCACCGCGACGCCUUCGAAGACGAAUCGUGCGGAGAAUUAAGCCGGUGUGAACAAAAAGGAAUCUUCGAAUCUGGAACUAAUAAGCCGAUGUGCAGUGUUGGUGAAUUUCAGUUUCCACACCUAUUUUUCCCGAGCCUCUACGAUAAAUUUCAUCGAGAGGAACAGGCAGAUAAAAUGAGAGAAAGAUAGAUAAAGGAGAAAGAGAAAAGGUUUUAUCUGGAAGAAAGUAAUGGCAGCACCAAAGAAGAACACACGUUUCGCGUGUUUACAAAAAAUACAUUUACUUAACUGCAUCAAGUAAUAUUUCAAAGAUAUUCUUGAAAUCCUGAACAGUGGAUCUUCGAUAAAAGGAUAUUUUCAGUUUUAAAAAAUACAAAAAGAAAUAUAAAAAUAAAAUAGUGACAAAAAAAGAAGAAGAAAAAGAAGA
Polistes dominula (European paper wasp) is the source of this 446-nucleotide long non-coding RNA. The record is from RefSeq and is a predicted model, not a curated record. NCBI's taxonomy places the organism in Eukaryota, Metazoa, Arthropoda, Insecta, Hymenoptera, Vespidae.